This is an RNA transcript of Elaeis guineensis (African oil palm), 2608 nucleotides long. It is a transcript of the gene named metal transporter Nramp6, with no coding region annotated. NCBI's taxonomy places the organism in Eukaryota, Viridiplantae, Streptophyta, Magnoliopsida, Arecales, Arecaceae. The record is from RefSeq and is a predicted model, not a curated record.
UUUGUCUCAAAUAGACGGAACGAAAUAUGGGACGUUUAGGGCUGCUGCUCCGACCAUCCGACCAAACGCGCAAAUGGAUCUCCGACCGGUCGAUUCCGUCCUCUCCGUCGCGUCCACCCUCUCUUCCGCUCCCAAACCCGAUCCCAAUAACAAUAAAAAGCCUUCCUUUUUCCCCCUCCGCGUCCUCUCCCACAUGGACUCCUCCCAACCCGGCGACGAGGAGGAGAGCUCCCUCCUUCCCUCCACCUCCCCCUCCCCUGGCCCUGAUUCCCAUUAUGGCGAAGAAGACGAUACCGAGGAGCGCGCCUAUGACGCCCGCGAGAAGAUCGUUGUCGGGAUCUCCGCUGACGACGCUGACUUCGCCGCUGGUGUCCCCCCCUUUUCUUGGCGCAAGCUCUGGCUCUUCACCGGCCCCGGAUUCCUGAUGAGUAUUGCCUUCCUGGAUCCCGGGAAUCUGGAGGGGGACCUCCAGGCCGGCGCCAUCGCCGGGUACUCGCUGCUGUGGUUGCUGUUCUGGGCCACGGCCAUGGGGCUUCUGAUCCAGAUGCUGUCGGCCAGGCUUGGGGUUGCUACAGGAAAACAUCUGGCGGAGCUCUGCCGGGAGGAGUAUCCCGGUUGGGCGCGGCUGGCGCUGUGGUUCAUGGCGGAGGUGGCGAUGAUUGGGGCGGAUAUCCAGGAGGUGAUCGGGAGCGCUAUUGCUAUCAAGAUUCUUAGUCGCGGGGUGCUGCCGCUUUGGGCUGGAGUUGUUAUCACCGCCAUGGAUUGCUUCAUGUUUCUAUUCCUCGAGAACUACGGUGUGAGAAAAUUAGAAGCUGUUUUUGCAUUUCUCAUUGCAACAAUGGCCUUUUCCUUUGCUUGGAUGUUUGGUGAAACCAAGCCCAGUGGGAAGGAGCUUCUGACUGGUUUAUUGGUUCCAAAACUAAGUUCAAAAACCAUAAGGCAGGCUGUUGGGGUUGUGGGCUGUGUCAUUAUGCCCCACAAUGUAUUCCUGCAUUCUGCUCUUGUACAGUCAAGAGAGAUUGAUCCUAGCAAAGAAAUCUGUGUUCAAGAAGCACUAAAUUAUUAUUCCAUAGAGUCUACUUUGGCCCUGAUUGUCUCCUUCACAAUAAAUCUGUUCGUUACAACAGUUUUUGCAAAAGGAUUUUAUGGUACUAAAGAAGCUAAUGGUAUAGGUCUUGAAAAUGCUGGGCAGUUUCUACAAGACAAGUAUGGGGGAGGGCUAUUUCCCAUUCUUUACAUCUGGGGAAUCGGGUUAUUAGCAGCUGGGCAGAGUAGUACGAUUACAGGCACCUAUGCUGGACAAUUUAUCAUGGGUGGAUUUCUGAAUCUUCGCUUGAAGAAAUGGAUCAGAGCAUUGAUUACUAGGAGCUUUGCAAUUGUGCCAACUAUAAUUGUUGCUUUGUUUUUUAACACAUCUGAUUCUGCUUUGGAUAUUUUAAAUGAGUGGCUCAAUGUGCUGCAAUCUGUUCAAAUCCCAUUUGCCCUUAUUCCACUUCUAACAUUGGUAUCAAAGGAGCAUCUUAUGGGAGCUUUUAAAAUUGGCUCUACUGUUCAAAUGGUAACCUGGACUGUCGCUGCUCUGCUAAUAAUAAUCAAUGGCUACCUCUUGCUGGAAUUCUUCUCCUCUGAAAUACAUGGUCUGUUGCUUGGUUCUAUGGUGUGCGUAGCCAUAGCUGUAUAUGUGACAUUUAUAAUUUAUCUGAUCUUGCACGGUGGUGAAUUAUCCACUUGGCUUGCAUCAGCAAUCCGCAAGAGAUUCUCAUGAGGAUUUGAACUCAAAAGAUAAUUGAUUUUGCUUUAACAUGUUUGGAAGAUACAGAAAGCGAGUCCCACAUUUUCGGACGAGAAGAAUGGACAUAAUGUUGUACAGUGAAGCUGCAGGAGCUCCAGGGUUAUAUUGUUCAAUUGGUCUUUCCUGCUCAUGCAAAUCAGUAAAGUGUUCUGCAGCAUGGUUGUGUUUGCAAUAGGUUUACCGUACUCUGUUGAAGAGGCCAGUGCUGAUAUAGAGUAUGUUGAUUUCACAAGGUCGGCUAUUCUGGGCUAUUCGCAGAAGCCUCUUGAGUAUAGCUUUUUGAUGAAAGCCUCUAUGAUAUAGUUAUCUCUAGCAAAUUUUCUCCCUGUUACAAUGCAGGAGAUGACAAGUAAUAACUUCACAGGCUCGAGCAGCACCGUUAGCUAAAUGUGGAAGAAAUAUGAUUUUGCCCAGGUUUACCAUGUCAGGAGGCUUAUCCAAGGUGGGGCUUAUUUCUCUGAUCCCUGCAUCAUUAUAGUCAGUGCAAAGGAACAUACAGAGAACUAGCUGGUAGCAACUUGGGGCAGGCAAGUGUGUGAUUGGAAUUCAGAAGAGAAGCAGCUUCAGAUGGAUGAAUCGGUGAAGAUCUAUUAAUCCACUGAAUUAUGUAAUGCUGGACCGUCAAUGCAAUGCCAAAAAAUUAGGCUGCCAUGGUGAUCUUAAGCCGGUAUAUCUUAGAUGAAAUAGAUAUAUUGAAAUGAUUGCACAGAAGGGAGAGUUACUGAAGGUCUGACCCUGAAACAUGUUCUAAAAAGGAAGAAUGGCCGGGUUUCCAAUUCCAUAUGCUGUCAUGAAUGCAGUAGAAUGUUAAUCUUC